AGACUUGUGCCAUAGUGGUUUGAGUAUCAGACUACAACUCUGGAAACCAGGGUUUGAUUCUCUGCUUGGCCA
Phrynosoma platyrhinos (Desert horned lizard) is the source of this 72-nucleotide non-coding RNA. The record is from the annotation of a GenBank genome assembly. Lineage: Eukaryota; Metazoa; Chordata; Lepidosauria; Squamata; Phrynosomatidae.